RNAcentral lists this ribosomal RNA (2398 nucleotides) under Nostoc sp. CMAA1605. RNAcentral's name for it is "partial 23S ribosomal RNA". It matches the Rfam family "Bacterial large subunit ribosomal RNA", at positions 1 to 2452 of the family's 2925-position model. Lineage: Bacteria; Bacillati; Cyanobacteriota; Cyanophyceae; Nostocales; Nostocaceae. The record is from RNAcentral.
GGUGAAAGUUACAAAGGGCGCACGGGGGAUGCCUAGGCUUCCGAAGGCGAAGAAGGACGUGCCAAGCUGCGAAAAGCUACGGGGAGCCGCACAGGGGCCUUGAUCCGUAGGUAUCCGAAUGGGGAAACCCACUCCGCGAGGAGUACACCGCAAGGUGAGCGAACCUCCUGAACUGAAACAUCUAAGUAAGGAGAGGAGAAGAAAACAAGAGUGAUUUCGCAAGUAGUGGCGAGCGAACGCGAAGAAGCCCAAACCUGGGACGUUACGGCGUUACAGGGGUUGUAGGACCACGUUGUGAGACCUUUUUAUCAUAGGAGAACAGUCUGGGAAGGCUGGCCGUAGAGGGUGAAAGUCCCGUAUCCGGCAUGAUGGAAGGCUCUAGUGGUAUCCUGAGUAGGGCGGGGUCGGAGACGCCCCGUUCGAAUCGAGCGGCACCAUCCGCUAAGGCUAAAUACUCUCGGAAGACCGAUAGUGGACAAGUACCGUGAGGGAAAGGUGAAAAGGACCCAGGGUAUGGGAGUGAAAAGAACCUGAAACCGUGCGCUUGCAAGCGGUCGGAGCAGACUUGAUCUGUGACGGCGUGCCUUUUGCAUAAUGAGCCUACGAGUUACGGUAACCGGCGAGGUUAAGGUGCUUGAGCACCUGGAGCCGAAGCGAAAGCGAGUCCUAAUAGGGCGGUUUUAGUCGGUUGCUGUAGACGCGAAACCUGAGUGAUCUACCCAUGGCCAGGUUGAAGCUUCCUUAACCGGAAGUGGAGGACCGAACCGGUAAACGUUGAAAAGUUUUCGGAUGAGCUGUGGGUAGGGGUGAAAGGCUAAUCAAACUGGGAAAUAGCUCGUACUCUCCGAAAUGCCUUUAGGGGCAGCGUCAGAGUUGAUGUGGGCGGAGGUAGAGCUACCGAUAGGACUAGGGGGAGUCGCAUCCUACCAAAUCCUGACGAACUCCGAAUGCCGCCCAACUGUAUCUGGCAGUGAGGGCUGGGGUGCUAAGGUCCCAGUCCGAGAGGGAAAGAACCCAGACCAUCGGCUAAGGUCCUCAAAUCAUGACUAAGUUGAACAAAGGCGGUGCGGCUGCAGUGACAGCCAGGAUGUUGGCUUGGAAGCAGCCAUUCAUUCAAAGAGUGCGUAACAGCUCACUGGUCGAGCGGCCGCGCAUCGAUAAUGAACGGGCAUCAAGUCAUGUACCGAAGCCAUGGAUUGUACGGUUGACGUACAGUGGUAGGAGAGCAUUCUGCACAGCGAUGAAGGUUAAUGGGGCAACCCGGGCUGGAGCGUGCAGAAAAGCAAAUGUAGGCAUAAGUAACGAUAAGGGGAGCGAGAAACUCCCCCACCGUAAGACCAAGGGUUCCUAGAUCAACGUUAAUCGGAUCAGGGUCAGUCGGGACCUAAGGGGUUAGCGAGAGCGAAGCUUCGAUGGCAAACGGGUGAAUAUUCCCGUACCUGCGCUGGGUUAGCCCACGUUGACGGAGUCGAAAAGAUCCUGCGUGCUGACGGAAUAGCACGUUGAAGAGGCGGUAAGCGCCUCGAUAGUACCGGCGAGCCUUCGGGCUCAAGGAUAUGGAUCGGCCAGGCUUCCAAGAAAAGACGUGCAAGCGUACCAGCCAGCCCGUACCGUAAACCGACACAGGUGGUCGGGUAGAAUAUACCAAGGUGCUCGAGUGAAUCACGGCUAAGGAACUCGGCAAAAUAACCCUGUAACUUCGGGAGAAGGGGGGCCUACCGGUAACGGAGGCUGCAAGAGAAUGGCCCAGGCGACUGUUUACCAAAAACACAUGGCUUUGCAAAAACGAAAGUUGACGUAUAAGGCCUGACACCUGCCCGGUGCUGGAAGGUUAAGAGGGGGGGUUAGCCGCAAGGCGAAGCUCUGAAUCGAAGCCCCAGUAAACGGCGGCCGUAACUAUAACGGUCCUAAGGUAGCGAAAUUCCUUGUCGGGUAAGUUCCGACCUGCACGAAUGGUGUAACGAUCUGGGCGCUGUCUCAGCCGUGAGCUCGGUGAAAUUGUAGUAGCGGUGAAGAUGCCGCUUACCCGCAACGGGACGAAAAGACCCCGUGCACCUUUACUAUAGCUUUACGCUGGUUGCGGCCAAGGGAUGUGUAGGAUAGGCGGGAGGCUAUGAAGCGGUGUCGCUAGGCAUCGUGGAGUCAACCUUGAAAUACCGCCCUUCGCUUGGUUGCAACCUAACUCGAGAUUUGAGGACACCGUAUGGUGGGUAGUUUGACUGGGGUGGUCGCCUCCAAAAAGGUAUCGGAGGCUUCCAAAGGUAGGCUCAGUACGCUUGGUAACCGUACGGAGAGUGCAAUAGCAUAAGCCUGCUUGACUGUGAGGCCGACAAGCCGAUCAGGUCGGAAACGAGGGUAUAGUGAUCCGGUGGCACUGCAUGGAAGGGCCAUCGCUCAU